Molecule: ribosomal RNA, 84 nt
Filed under: Microvirgula sp. AG722
Lineage: Bacteria; Pseudomonadati; Pseudomonadota; Betaproteobacteria; Neisseriales; Aquaspirillaceae
Source: RNAcentral
UCCCAUCCCGAACAGGACCGUGAAACUGCUUUGCGCCGAUGAUAGUGUGGCACUUGCCCAUGCGAAAGUAGGUCACCGCCAGGU